This is a non-coding RNA of Phrynosoma platyrhinos (Desert horned lizard), 72 nucleotides long. The record is from the annotation of a GenBank genome assembly. Lineage: Eukaryota; Metazoa; Chordata; Lepidosauria; Squamata; Phrynosomatidae.
AGUCAGUUGGUGUAGUGGUUUGUGCAUUAGACUAUGACUCUGGAGGCCAGGGUUCAAAUCCCAGCUUGGCCA